Molecule: ribosomal RNA, 505 nt
Filed under: uncultured bacterium
Lineage: Bacteria
Description: bacterial SSU rRNA
Rfam family: Bacterial small subunit ribosomal RNA
Source: RNAcentral
GAUGAACGCUAGCGAUAGGCCUAACACAUGCAAGUCGAGGGGCAUCACAUGAAGUAGCAAUACGGAUGGUGGCGACCGGCGCACGGGUGAGUAACACGUAUGCAACCUGCCUUCAACAAGGGGAUAACCCGUUGAAAGACGGACUAAUACCCUAUAACACAGGGGUCCCGCAUGGGAAUAUUUGUUAAAGGACAACCGGUUGAAGAUGGGCAUGCGUUCCAUUAGCUAGUUGGCGGGGUAACGGCCCACCAAGGCAACGAUGGAUAGGGGGAACUGAGAGGUUUAUCCCCCACACUGGUACUGAGACACGGACCAGACUCCUACGGGAGGCAGCAGUGAGGAAUAUUGGUCAAUGGACGCAAGUCUGAACCAGCCACGUCGCGUGAAGGAAGACGGCCCUACGGGUUGUAAACUUCUUUUGUAAGGGAAUAAAGUGUAGUACGCGUACUAUUUUGCAUGUACCUUACGAAUAAGGAUCGGCUAACUCCGUGCCAGCAGCCGCGGU